This 370-nucleotide ribosomal RNA is filed under the name Acanthamoeba palestinensis. RNAcentral describes it as "SSU rRNA". It matches the Rfam family "Eukaryotic small subunit ribosomal RNA", at positions 794 to 1113 of the family's 1831-position model. The record is from RNAcentral. Lineage: Eukaryota; Discosea; Longamoebia; Acanthamoebidae.
ACCGAAUACAUUAGCAUGGGAUAAUGGAAUAGGACCCUGUCCUCCUUUUUUCAGUUGGUUAAUUCAUGAGAGAGGAACAGGGUAAUGAUUAAUAGGGAUAGUUGGGGGCAUUAAUAUUUAAUUGUCAGAGGUGAAAUUCUUGGAUUUAUGAAAGAUUAACUUCUGCGAAAGCAUCUGCCAAGGAUGUUUUCAUUAAUCAAGAACGAAAGUUAGGGGAUCGAAGACGAUCAGAUACCGUCGUAGUCUUAACCAUAAACGAUGCCGACCAGCGAUUAGGAGACGUUGAAUACAAAACACCUCUAUAUAUAAUUCAAUGUAUGAUCAGUCAAAUGGUUGUAUAUUGUUUGUGUAUAGUCACGGGGAAAGAAUC